RNAcentral lists this small RNA (437 nucleotides) under Marmota monax (woodchuck). The stretch from base 108 to 176 matches the Rfam family "tRNA". The record is from RNAcentral. Lineage: Eukaryota; Metazoa; Chordata; Mammalia; Rodentia; Sciuridae.
UAAUUCAUAGGUUAGUUGAGAGGAACAACUUCAGGCUGGUCAUAUAGAGCCAACACUUAGUCCUUGGAACACCCCCAUUUUUGUUAUUAAGAAAAAAAUCAAGGGCUGGGAUUGUGGCUCAGUGGUAGAGUGCUCGUUUAGCAUGCAUGAGGCACUGGGUUCAAUCCUCAGCACCACAUAAAUGUAAAAUAAAGAUUGUGUCCACCUAAAAAACUAAAAAAUAAAUAAAAAAAAAAAAGAAAAAAAUCAGGUAAUUGGAGAUUACUACAGGAUUUAAGGGCGAUAAAUCAUGCAAUUCAGCCUAUCGGAUCCUUACAGCCAGGACUUCCUUCCCCCACAGCCAUCCCUUUAAACUAUAGCUUGAUGGUAAUAGAUUUAAAAUAUUGCUUUUUCUCUAUAAGGUUACAUCCUGGAGAUUGUGAAAAAUUUGCCUUCAC